This 539-nucleotide long non-coding RNA is filed under the name Mytilus galloprovincialis (Mediterranean mussel). Lineage: Eukaryota; Metazoa; Mollusca; Bivalvia; Mytilida; Mytilidae. The record is from RNAcentral.
GUGGAUUGUUCUGUUAGGCAAAACCUGUUAAGCAAAAGGCAAGUAGGUAUAACUGUCAUUGUAAACCAUUAUGUAUAUAUUUAGUUUUAUUUUUGUCACAAUGUUAUAAAAUAACUAAAUCAGAAUGAUAUUUUGGUGUUUUUUCGAUAUAUAUAGCGUGGCUCUGUCCUUUUACAUCCUUUCAUUGUGUAAUUGUAAAACAUGUGUAUAUGCUUGUCUUUAAAUUUUGCUAUGCAAUUUGUCUAUAGGCCUUUUAUAUGUUUCUUCGAUACAUAUAUGACGUGUCUCUGUAUUCUAUAUACCGUCAAUAUGUUCAUGUACUAUGAUAAAUUGGUGUAUUCUUGUCUUUAAUUUUUGCUUAUAUGCUUGGUCUAUAAGCCAUUUUGUGCUUCAUUGAUACACAUUUGUUUGUUUGGUUGUGGUUUUUUUUUGUGAUUAAGAUUAUGACAUAAUGUUGACUGCUGUAUUCCUAUUUUUGAUAUUUUUGACAGUUUUGCCUAUUAUGUCUGUUUGUUUUGUUCACAGUUCACGCAUCGUUG